AGAGUUUGAUCAUGGCUCAGGAUGAACGCUAGCUACAGGCUUAACACAUGCAAGUUGAGGGGCAGCAUGUUGGUUGCUUGCAACCAACGAUGGCGACCGGCGCACGGGUGAGUAACGCGUAUCCAACCUACCCUUGUCCAUCGGAUAACCCGUCGAAAGGCGGCCUAACACGAUAUGCGGUUCACAGCAGGCAUCUAAACGUGAACGAAAUGUAAAGGAGAAGGAUGGGGAUGCGUCUGAUUAGCUUGGUCGGCGGGGUAACGGCCCACCAAGGCGACGAUCAGGUAGGGGUUCUGAGAGGAACGGUCCCCCANAUUGGAACUGAGACACGGUCCAAACUCCUACGGGAGGCA
Molecule: ribosomal RNA, 353 nt
Filed under: uncultured bacterium
Lineage: Bacteria
Description: bacterial SSU rRNA
Rfam family: Bacterial small subunit ribosomal RNA
Source: RNAcentral